Non-coding RNA from Talpa occidentalis (Iberian mole), 645 nucleotides. NCBI's taxonomy places the organism in Eukaryota, Metazoa, Chordata, Mammalia, Eulipotyphla, Talpidae. The record is from the annotation of a RefSeq genome assembly.
AUGAGCCAGUCUCCACCCUCCGUGUCUGCAUCUCCAAGAGACAGAGUCACCAUCUCCUGCCGGGCCAGUCAGGGUAUUAGCAGCAAUUUAGCCUGGUAUCAGCAGAAACCAGGAAAAGCUCCUAAGCUCCUGAUCUAUUAUGCAAACAGUGUGCAGCCUGGGGUCCCAUCCCGCUUCAGUGGCAGUGGCUCUGGGACAGAUUUCACUCUCACCAUCAGCAGCCUGGAGCCUGAAGAUGCUGCCAAUUACUGCUGGGGCUCCUCAGUUCAGCUUCUCAAAAUGAGGUUCCCUGCUGAGCUGCUGGGGCUGCUGAUGCUCUGGACCCCAGGGGCCUCGUAUGAGAUCCAGAUGACCCAGUCUCCAUCCUCCAUGUCUGCAUCUCGAGGAGACAGAGUCACCAUCUCCUGCCGGGCCAGUCAGAGUGUUAGCAACUACUUAGCCUGGUACCAGCAGAAACCUGGACAGGCUCCCAGGCUCCUCAUCUAUCGUGCAUCCAGCAGGCCCAGUGAGAUCCCAGCCCGGUUCAGUGGCAGCGGGUCUGGGACAGACUUUACUCUCACCAUCAGCAGCCUGGAGCCUGAAGAUGCUGCCACUUACUACUGUCAGCAGUGGAAUAGUUCCCCUCCCACAGUGACACAAGCCUGA